RNAcentral lists this ribosomal RNA (447 nucleotides) under uncultured bacterium. Its description in RNAcentral is "bacterial SSU rRNA". It matches the Rfam family "Bacterial small subunit ribosomal RNA", at positions 355 to 825 of the family's 1533-position model. The record is from RNAcentral.
UCGGGAAUUUUGGGCAAUGGGGGAAACCCUGACCCAGCAACGCCGCGUGAAGGAUGAAGUAUUUCGGUAUGUAAACUUCGAAAGAAUAGGAAGAAUAAAUGACGGUACUAUUUAUAAGGUCCGGCUAACUACGUGCCAGCAGCCGCGGUAAUACGUAGGGACCAAGCGUUGUUCGGAUUUACUGGGCGUAAAGGGCGCGUAGGCGGCAUGACAAGUCACUUGUGAAAUCUCCGGGCUUAACUCGGAACGGUCAGAUGAUACUGCUUUGCUAGAGUGCAGAAGGGGCAAUCGGAAUUCUUGGUGUAGCGGUGAAAUGCGUAGAUAUCAAGAGGAACACCUGAGGUGAAGACGGGUUGCUGGGCUGACACUGACGCUGAGGCGCGAAAGCCAGGGGAGCAAACGGGAUUAGAUACCCAAGUAGUCCCUGAGCGGGCUGGCAAGGCGCAU